This 253-nucleotide ribosomal RNA is filed under the name uncultured bacterium. Its description in RNAcentral is "partial 16S ribosomal RNA". It matches the Rfam family "Bacterial small subunit ribosomal RNA", at positions 524 to 776 of the family's 1533-position model. The record is from RNAcentral.
UACGUAGGGUGCGAGCGUUAAUCGGAAUUACUGGGCGUAAAGCGUGCGCAGGCGGUUCGUUGUGUCGGCGGUGAAAGCCCCGGGCUCAACCUGGGAAUGGCAAUGGAAACUGGCGGGCUGGAGUAUGGCAGAGGGGGGUGGAAUUCCGCGUGUAGCAGUGAAAUGCGUAGAGAUGCGGAGGAACACCGAUGGCGAAGGCAGCCCCCUGGGCCAAUACUGACGCUCAGGCACGAAAGCGUGGGGAGCAAACAGG